UACGGAGGGGGCUAGCGUUGUCCGAAGUUACUGGGCGUAAAGCGCGCGUAGGCGGGUUGGUAAGUCCGCUGUGAAAGUCGAGGGCUCAACCCUCGAAUGCCGGUGGAUACUGUCGGGCUUGAGUACGGGAGAGGCGAGUGGAAUUCCUGGUGUAGCGGUGAAAUGCGCAGAUAUCAGGAGGAACACCGAUUGCGAAGGCAGCUCGCUGGAACGUUACUGACGCUGAGACGCGAAAGCGUGGGGAGCAAACAGG
This 253-nucleotide ribosomal RNA is filed under the name uncultured bacterium. RNAcentral's name for it is "partial 16S ribosomal RNA". It matches the Rfam family "Bacterial small subunit ribosomal RNA", at positions 524 to 776 of the family's 1533-position model. The record is from RNAcentral.